UUAGUGGCAGACGGGUGAGUAAUGCAUAGGAAUCUACCUAGUAGUAUAGGAUAGCCACUAGAAAUGGUGGGUAAUACUGUAUAAUCCCUGCGGGGGAAAGAUUUAUCGCUACAUGAUGAGCCCAUGUUAGAUUAGCUAGUUGGUAGGGUAAAGGCCUACCAAGGCGAUGAUCUAUAGCUGGUCUGAGAGGAUGAUCAGCCACACUGGAACUGAGACACGGUCCAGACUCCUACGGGAGGCAGCAGUGGGGAAUAUUGGACAAUGGGCGCAAGCCUGAUCCAGCUAUGCCGCGUGAGUGAGGAAGGCCUUAGGGUUG
This 316-nucleotide ribosomal RNA is filed under the name uncultured Anaplasma sp. RNAcentral describes it as "bacterial SSU rRNA". It matches the Rfam family "Bacterial small subunit ribosomal RNA", at positions 92 to 425 of the family's 1533-position model. Lineage: Bacteria; Pseudomonadati; Pseudomonadota; Alphaproteobacteria; Rickettsiales; Anaplasmataceae. The record is from RNAcentral.